RNAcentral lists this small RNA (83 nucleotides) under Marmota monax (woodchuck). Lineage: Eukaryota; Metazoa; Chordata; Mammalia; Rodentia; Sciuridae. The record is from RNAcentral.
GCCGGGCUUGGUGGCACAUGCCUGUAAUCCCAAUAGUUCGGGAGGCUGAGGCAGGAGGAUUGUGAGUUCAAAUCCAGCCUCAG